RNAcentral lists this ribosomal RNA (500 nucleotides) under uncultured bacterium. RNAcentral describes it as "partial 16S ribosomal RNA". It matches the Rfam family "Bacterial small subunit ribosomal RNA", at positions 30 to 523 of the family's 1533-position model. The record is from RNAcentral.
AUUGAACGCUGGCGGCAUGCCCUACACAUGCAAGUCGAACGGCAGCACGGGAGCAAUCCUGGUGGCGAGUGGCGAACGGGUGAGUAAAGUAUCGGAACGUGCCCAGUCGUGGGGGAUAACGUAGCGAAAGUUACGCUAAUACCGCAUACGAUCUAUGGAUGAAAGCGGGGGAUCGCAAGACCUCGCGCGAUUGGAGCGGCAGAUAUCAGAUUAGGUAGUUGGUGGGGUAAAGGCUCACCAAGCCGACGAUCUGUAGCUGGUCUGAGAGGACGACCAGCCACACUGGGACUGAGACACGGCCCAGACUCCUACGGGAGGCAGCAGGGGGGAAUUUUGGACAAUGGGCGAAAGCCUGAUCCAGCCAUGCCGCGUGCAGGAUGAAGGCCUUCGGGUUGUAAACUGCUUUUGUACGGAACGAAAAGGUUUGGCCUAAUAAGCUGAGCUCAUGACGGUACCGUAAGAAUAAGCACCGGCUAACUACGUGCCAGCCGCCGCCGUAA